ACAUCCCUCACUUAGAAGUGAGAACCAAACCCUCGAAGCCUCUUCAUUACUCAACUAAGAACCCUAAACCUUCGCAGCCCUCUCAGCUCGCAGCCCUCUUCAUCACUGAGAAGUGAGAAUCCCUUCAUCUUUCAGCUCGUAGCCCCCUCUUAACUUGCAACACUCUAUCCUUCUCUUGCAAUCCUUUAUCCCACUUUUGUAACUCUUGGAAACUUCAAUCGGUGCUGCCUCCGUCGGCGCACCCUCCAUCGGUGGGCCCUCCGUUGGCAUUCAGUCUCGCUCGCAAGGCCUCCAUCGGCGCUCGCUCUCUCUCGCUCAAACCUUACCUCCAUCGACGCUGACUCAAUCAUCAUUGCCUCUCCCUCAAUCGUCGUUCCUCCCUCAAUCGGCGCUCAACCCUCAUCGUAACACAAGAAGAACAAGGAAAUGUUGCCAGAGAACUUCAAAGAACAGCUUGCUUUGUCUGUGAGAAGCAUCCAGUGGAGCUAUGCAAUAUUCUAGUCUACUUCAUCUACCCAACCCGGAUCCACCUUGUUCUUUUGCUAAUUAGAUUAAUAAUCAUGGGAGGAGAAGGUAACCAAAAAACUUUCACAAGAUACCGUUUUAGUAUCUGUGUUGAUUCCUGAACUGCUUUUUUUUUUUUAAGGAAAAAAAUAUCUGGUGUGAAUCUAAUAUUUUUUUAAAGAUAUUUGAGCAUUAGUUUUC
Arachis ipaensis is the source of this 705-nucleotide non-coding RNA. Lineage: Eukaryota; Viridiplantae; Streptophyta; Magnoliopsida; Fabales; Fabaceae. The record is from RefSeq and is a predicted model, not a curated record.